RNAcentral lists this transfer RNA (72 nucleotides) under Ovis aries (sheep). It matches the Rfam family "tRNA". Rfam says of the family: Transfer RNA (tRNA) molecules are approximately 80 nucleotides in length. Their secondary structure includes four short double-helical elements and three loops (D, anti-codon, and T loops). Further hydrogen bonds mediate the characteristic L-shaped molecular structure. tRNAs have two regions of fundamental functional importance: the anti-codon, which is responsible for specific mRNA codon recognition, and the 3' end, to which the tRNAs corresponding amino acid is attached (by aminoacyl-tRNA synthetases). tRNAs cope with the degeneracy of the genetic code in two manners: having more than one tRNA (with a specific anti-codon) for a particular amino acid; and 'wobble' base-pairing, i.e. permitting non-standard base-pairing at the 3rd anti-codon position. Lineage: Eukaryota; Metazoa; Chordata; Mammalia; Artiodactyla; Bovidae. The record is from Rfam by way of RNAcentral.
UCCCUUGUAGCUCAGUUGGUAAAGAAUCUGCUUGCAAUGCAGGAGAUCUGGGUUCGAUUCCUGGGUUGGGAA